GAUGAACGCUGGCGGCGUGCCUAAUACAUGCAAGUCGAGCGAACAGACGAGGAGCUUGCUCCUCUGACGUUAGCGGCGGACGGGUGAGUAACACGUGGAUAACCUACCUAUAAGACUGGGAUAACUUCGGGAAACCGGAGCUAAUACCGGAUAAUAUAUUGAACCGCAUGGUUCAAUAGUGAAAGACGGUUUUGCUGUCACUUAUAGAUGGAUCCGCGCCGCAUUAGCUAGUUGGUAAGGUAACGGCUUACCAAGGCAACGAUGCGUAGCCGACCUGAGAGGGUGAUCGGCCACACUGGAACUGAGACACGGUCCAGACUCCUACGGGAGGCAGCAGUAGGGAAUCUUCCGCAAUGGGCGAAAGCCUGACGGAGCAACGCCGCGUGAGUGGUGAAGGUCUUCGGAUCGUAAAACUCUGUUAUUAGGGAAGAACAAAUGUAUAAGUAACUAUGCACGUCUUGACGGUACCUAAUCAGAAAGCCACGGCUAACUACGUG
RNAcentral lists this ribosomal RNA (497 nucleotides) under uncultured bacterium. RNAcentral's name for it is "partial 16S ribosomal RNA". It matches the Rfam family "Bacterial small subunit ribosomal RNA", at positions 28 to 507 of the family's 1533-position model. The record is from RNAcentral.